AACGAACGCUGGCGGCGUGGAUUAGGCAUGCAAGUCGAACGAAACAUUUAGCUUUUUCGAAUGUUGAGUGGCGAAAGGGUGAGUAACGCGUGGGCAACCUGCCCUAAGGUGGGGGAUAACCUGUCGAAAGACGGGCUAAUACCGCUUAAGCUUCCGGACUGAGAUGUUCGGAAGGAUAGAUGGGGAUUUCUUCGGAACCUGUCGCCUUUGGAUGGGCCCGCGUCCUAUCAGCUCGUUGGUGAGGUAANGGCUCACCAAGGCUAAGACGGGUAGCUGGUCUGAGAGGAUGGUCAGCCACACUGGGACUGAGACACUGCCCAGACACCUACGGGUGGCUGCAGUCGAGAAUCUUCCGCAAUGGGGGCAACCCUGACGGAGCGACGCCGCGUGCAGGAUGAAGGUCUUCGGAUUGUAAACUGCUGUCAGCAGGGAAGAAUAGGUGCUUGGUUAAUAACCAGGC
Molecule: ribosomal RNA, 460 nt
Filed under: uncultured bacterium
Lineage: Bacteria
Description: bacterial SSU rRNA
Rfam family: Bacterial small subunit ribosomal RNA
Source: RNAcentral